This is a non-coding RNA of Ictidomys tridecemlineatus (thirteen-lined ground squirrel), 2045 nucleotides long. The record is from RefSeq and is a predicted model, not a curated record. Lineage: Eukaryota; Metazoa; Chordata; Mammalia; Rodentia; Sciuridae.
GCCUUCCAUAUUUUAUUUUGAAGCAAGGACUCACUAAGUUGCUGAGGCUCCUCUCUAACUUUUGAUCCUCCUGCCUCAGUGUACUGAGUCACUGGGAUUACAGGCAUAUACAACCAUGUCUGCUUUGACUGAGAUAGUUUUGAUGCCCUGAAAUAUUUCUUGCUGGGGUGUAUCUGAGUGGUAGAGCAUGUGCUUAUCAUGUGCAAGGCCUUGGGUCCUUCAGCACCCAAUAUACAAAUAAAAUUUGAAUUAAUGAGUGAACCAACAAAAGAAUCAACAUUUGAGAUAGAAGAAAAGAGAUAAAGGGACAGAGAGAAUUCUGAUGUCUUGACUCCCCAAGUUCAGGGGAAUUAAAAGAGGCAGCUAGAAGUGGGGCAAAAAAUGGACAAGAAGGUACCAUUUGAUGUUGGUCUGUUGAUUGAGACCCAGAAUGUGAGCAGGAGCCACAAGAGUGGAGCAAGUGUGAGAUGCUGCUGUGGGUACUCUAGAGGUAUUGGAUUCUAUUCAGUUCUGGUUGUAUUUCUUGAGUGUGAGAGAGGUGGGGGUAUUCAAACUUAGUGCUCAGUUCUUGAAAGUUUAUUAAUUAUCAUUCUUUUCAGCAUUUUUCAAUACCAUAUGUACCACUAUCCUUAAUAUAUUUUGUUUUGAGAUAGGGUCUCACUACGUUGCUGUGGGCCUUGCCCAGUUGUUGAGGGUGGCCUUGAACUUGUGAUCUUCCAGCCCAAACCUCCCAGCCUGACAAUCCCUUUGACCAAGGCUGCUUCACAAAUUGCUACAUCAUGAUGUGUAUGCCACUGGGACCCAAGUACAUGACCCAAGCUGUCAGUCUGCAAAUAGAGCUGGGGACUGAAUGGGAGCCAACAGAGGUAUACAUUCCAGCACAACAUCCUACACACCUCCCUGUGUCCAAGUCUCCAACUCUAGUCCCCCCAAGUAGUGGCCAGUCUGCACCUUUACAGGAGGUGUGAGGAGUAGUGAGUGUGCAUUGAAACAGGGGUGUCUGUGGACUGCACAGCUAUUGGGAGAAACCCUUCAGGUUGGGCUAGCUAGGGAUCUGAAGCAAUUGGAGCCUAAGGAUGGGAAUUACGGAACUGGACAGUACACUGUUCAGGUCACAGGGCUUCAGAACACACUGAGUUGUCCCUGGAUAGACAAAGAGAUAAUAAGACUAAGCCACAAACUUUCUGGUUACUGCUUUUUUGACAAAUAAUUUAUGGCUUCUUUAAAAGUCAUAACACUUAUCUCUCUGGUUUUUUGCUUUCUAUAUUUUGCCCUCUUUUCCAAGGAAGUCUUCUAUUUCACUGGGUUUUCUCUUUCAUAUUGUGGAUAACUAUUAUAUGUAAACCUUGGAUCUUUUCUCUUCCCCAGAUUAUGUAUUUUAUGUUUUUAUAUUUACAUCUCUCUCAAAGCCUCAAUGUCAUUCAAGGGACAAUUGUGCAUGAAAUUCCUCACCAGCUAAGAGAGAUUUUCCAUAGUAAUCACCUUACAUGGAGCCAGGAAGAGAGAACUACUAAUGGGACUUGCAGGGGACUAUGAUGUGGUGGCACAUAAUGCAUUUCCCAGGCAGAGCUCUGAGGACUGCCAUUGGAUCCUGAUCUCAUGAUAGAUGGCUGUGUUUUCUUCAUUCAUUUCAAUUGACUCAUUGAAGUGAAAGGGAGGCUAGGCAUUAUAUCUUUGUAAAAUGUUUUGUGAAAAUUUAUUUCUUCUUGAAUGUUAUUUCUCAUAGAUGGCCAGGGAUUAUUAGAUGGAAAAAUGACCCAUGACAUAAUUAAGACACAAUUUUACUGCAGGAUGAUAGGCCAUAAAAGUAUUGAUUUGGGGCUGAACAUGUAGUUAAGUGUAGAGAGUUUGCCCAGGAUACAUGAGUUCCUUGGUUCCAUCCCUGGCAUGGCAAAAACAAUAGCAAAGCAAGGCAAAAACCCAUACAUCUAGCUUCUAGGGGGUGGUACCCAUCUAUAAUCUCAGCAACUCUGGAGGCUGAGUUAGCCUGCUUGUAAGUUUUCAGCCAGCCUCAGCAAUUUUGUUAGAUCCUAAGAUUAAAAAGG